Molecule: transfer RNA, 83 nt
Filed under: Tupanvirus deep ocean
Lineage: Varidnaviria; Bamfordvirae; Nucleocytoviricota; Megaviricetes; Imitervirales; Mimiviridae
Also listed under: 1 other name
Description: tRNA-Ser
Rfam family: tRNA
About the family: Transfer RNA (tRNA) molecules are approximately 80 nucleotides in length. Their secondary structure includes four short double-helical elements and three loops (D, anti-codon, and T loops).
Source: RNAcentral
GGCGCUAUGGCAGAAUGGUAAAUGCACCGGUCUUGAAAACCGGAGUCCUUUGGACGCGUAGGUUCGAUUCCUACUGGCGCCGC